This 441-nucleotide ribosomal RNA is filed under the name uncultured bacterium. RNAcentral describes it as "partial 16S ribosomal RNA". It matches the Rfam family "Bacterial small subunit ribosomal RNA", at positions 338 to 795 of the family's 1533-position model. The record is from RNAcentral.
CCUACGGGAGGCUGCAGUCGGGAAUAUUGCGCAAUGGAGGAAACUCUGACGCAGUGACGCCGCGUGCAGGAAGAAGGUUUUCGGAUUGUAAACUGCUUUAGACAGGGAAGAAACAAGACAGUACCUGAGUAAGAAGCCCCGGCUAACUACGUGCCAGCAGCCGCGGUAAUACGUAGGGGGCAAGCGUUAUCCGGAUUUACUGGGGGUAAAGGGAGCGUAGGCGGUGCGCCAAGUCUGGAGUGAAAUGCCGCAGCUUAACUGCGGAACUGCUUUGGAAACUGGCGAACUAGAGUGCGGGAGGGGUAAGCAGAAUUCCUAGUGUAGCGGUGAAAUGCGUAGAUAUUAGGAGGAACACCGGUGGCGGAGGCGGCUUACUGGACCGUAACUGACGUUGAGGCUCGAAAGCGUGGGGAGCAAACAGGAUUAGAUACCCCUGUAGUC